Molecule: long non-coding RNA, 663 nt
Filed under: Rattus norvegicus (Norway rat)
Lineage: Eukaryota; Metazoa; Chordata; Mammalia; Rodentia; Muridae
Description: long non-coding RNA NONRATT010204
Source: RNAcentral
UAGUUUUUGAUGAUGAAGAAGAAAGCAAGUUGACCUAUACAGAAAUCCAUCAAGAGUACAAAGAGCUGGUUGAAAAGCUGUUAGAAAGUUACCUCAAAGAAAUUGGAAUUAAUGAAGAUCAGUUUCAAGAAGCAUGCACUUCCCCUCUGGCAAAGACGCGCACAUCACAGGUGCCAUUUUGCAGCCUGUGUUGGCAGCAGAAGAUUUUACUAUCUUUAAAGCAAUGAUGGUCCAGAAGAACAUUGAAAUGCAGCUUCAAGCCAUCCGAAUAAUCCAGGAGAGAAAUGGUGUGUUACCUGACUGCUUAACUGACGGGGCAGAUGUGGUCAGUGAUCUUGAACAAGAAGAGAUGAAAAUUCGUUAUUAAUAAGUAAUGUGAAAAACUAGCAAAACAGAAACCCAAAUUUUCUUAAAAAUAAAUUAUUUAAUCCUUAAAGACUAUUAGUUUCAAGCAAAUACUUGGUUUUCUAAAUGCAACUGUGAACUAUUAUUAAACAGGUAAAGGGCAAGAGGUAUGGUGGUGCAUGCCUAUAAUCCUAGCACCCACGCUAGGAUGCUGAAGGAGGAGGAUCAGGAGCUCUUGGUCCUUUCCAGUGUCAGAGCAAAUUGGAGGCCAGCCUAGGUUACAUGAAUCUGUCUCAAAUAACCAAAAUAAAUAAAUUU